CAGAGAGUAGAGGCUAUUUUUUUUCUCGCUUACGUCUUUCAAAGAUUACAAACUUUUUUUUUUUUUUUUUUUGGAAUAUUCAUUUGAGUUCUUCUUACUGCGCAAAGUGUCACUAACAGAGUAACAGUUACAGAUUACAAUCGUAUAUGCAUGCAACAGUGGCAGCUCAAUAAAUAGAAUCUGUGUAUAAAUUUGUUUUUAAAUUGGCCCUAAAGUUUAGUCAAAAAAAUUUGGGGUCAUGUUCAAAUGGGAACCGCCCCUGCUGCAAG
Molecule: long non-coding RNA, 269 nt
Filed under: Capsella rubella
Lineage: Eukaryota; Viridiplantae; Streptophyta; Magnoliopsida; Brassicales; Brassicaceae
Description: long non-coding RNA (CRUB_LNC003304)
Source: RNAcentral